Molecule: ribosomal RNA, 884 nt
Filed under: uncultured Clostridia bacterium
Lineage: Bacteria; Bacillati; Bacillota; Clostridia
Description: bacterial SSU rRNA
Rfam family: Bacterial small subunit ribosomal RNA
Source: RNAcentral
GGACGAACGCUGGCGGCGUGCCUAACACAUGCAAGUCGAGCGAAGAGCUUAUCAUGACACCUUCGGGUAGAUUGAUAAACUUCUUAGCGGCGGAUGGGUGAGUAACGCGUGAGGAACCUGCCUUCCACAAGGGGAUAGCCUCGGGAAACCGGGAUUAAUACCCUAUGAUACUUCCAAGUCACAUGACCUGGAAGUUAAAGCGUUAUCGGUGGAAGAUGGCCUCUCGUCCCAUUAUCUAUUUGGUGAGGUAACGGCUCUCCACGGCUACGAUGGGUAGCCGGCUUGAUGAGAGCGACCGGCCACACUGCUAACUGAGACACGGUCCACCACUCCUACUAGGAGGCAGCAGCUGGGGAAUCUUACUGCAAUGGGCGAAAACCUGAUGGUAGCGACGCCGCCGUGAGCAGAAGAAGGCCUUCUUCGUUGUAAAGCUCUGUCUGGAGGGACGAAGAUAAGUGACGGUACCUCCGGAGGAAGCCACGGCUAACUACGUGCCAGCAGCCGCGGUAAUACGUAGGUGGCGAGCGUUGUCCGGAAUCACUGGGCGUAAAGGGCGCGCAGGCGGCGAGUCAAGUCACACGUGAAAACCCCUGGCUCAACUGUGGGAUGUCCUUCGAAACUGUCUUGCUUGAGUGCAGGAGAGGGAAGCGGAAUUCCCGGUGUAGCGGUGAAAUGCGUAGAUAUCGGGAGGAACACCAGUGGCGAAGGCGACUACCUGGACUAAUACUGACGCUGAUGCACGAAAGCUAGGGGAGCAAACAGGAUUAGAUACCCUGGUAGUCCUAGCUGUAAACGAUGGGUACUAGGUGUAGGAGGUUUCGAUACCUUCUGUGCCGGAGUUAACGCAUUAAGUACCCCGCCUGGGGAGUACGUCCGCAAGCAUG